This 253-nucleotide ribosomal RNA is filed under the name uncultured bacterium. Its description in RNAcentral is "partial 16S ribosomal RNA". It matches the Rfam family "Bacterial small subunit ribosomal RNA", at positions 524 to 776 of the family's 1533-position model. The record is from RNAcentral.
UUCGUAGGGUGCGAGCGUUGUCCGGAAUUAUUGGGCGUAAAGAGCUCGUAGGCGGUUUGUCGCGUCUGCCGUGAAAGUCCGGGGCUCAACUCCGGAUCUGCGGUGGGUACGGGCAGACUAGAGUGAUGUAGGGGAGACUGGAAUUCCUGGUGUAGCGGUGAAAUGCGCAGAUAUCAGGAGGAACACCGAUGGCGAAGGCAGGUCUCUGGGCAUUAACUGACGCUGAGACGCGAAAGCGUGGGGAGCAAACAGG